AUGGUCAGAGCAGCCCAUGGCCACAGGAAUGGUGGCCCCUGUACAGCCGAGGCUGCUGCUGGGCACAGUCACCUUUUGGGGCCGUGGGAACGCCGUCUCAGUGGAGGGGCGCUGUUGAGGUUAUUUAUAAUUAUAUAUUUUCCUUUUAAGUGUUUAGGAGUCAGCCAGGCCUCCUGCUUGGGGACUCGAGCCCAGCCAAGUCCUGCGUGGGCCACCCACACAAUGGAGAGCCCGUGCUCAUGGGGGCUGGUUCCCUUCGCACAUCAGCUACGGCCCGAGUUGCUAGAAACAUCUGCAUGGCCACAGCAAAAGCCUGUAAUCCGAUUCUUCGAUCCAGAGUUGCAGCUUGAAAAUUCUUUUUUCUGUGAGGAAAGCGACAGACCUCCCACCUACCUCAUGGGUGGGGUGUGUGGAGUUCCCCAUCUCCUCUUCGGGAGACCGCCUCUGACUCUGGUAAUACAUCCACCCACGUUUGCACUUCAGGACCAUCUCAAAACUUGGUAGACAAGAAGAAGCAGGGGCUUCAGCAUACUUGGGGCAACUGUUCCCCAGAUCUGGAUGACAGUAUUUGAAUCUGUGCGAGGUGCCUGGGCUCUGCGCUCUUGAGUAUCCACAUAAAUUCAUACUUGGCAGUGAGGCACCCAUGGUUGCCCUUCUACAGUAUUCUAGGUGAUCUACCUGGCAUCUCUCCGACCCCACAGCCCAUUUUUAUUUGACUUUGAGUUUUUGCUCAACAUGUUAGCUGUUAUUAUUAUGUUGACAGAACAACUGUCCCACCCUUAGCAUAGUCCUAGUACCUUGGAUCUCUUGUACUACAAUGAGAAAUGAACCAGUAAGUUGGAGGAAUUUGAGUUAUGAUUCUGCCAACAAACAGUCUUACGAUAGAUAGUGGAAAAUCACAUACCUGUUCUGGGCUUCAUCUGCUAAAGGGAACUGGCAAGAGCUAAAUUUUCACUGGCUCAUAAACUUGGAGACCAAAACCACGCUUUUAACCAAGUUUCCCUUCCCACCACCCCCUUUAACGUGUCAUUUAAGGCAGCAAUGCAUCCUCCUGCUGAGACAGGCUUUGGAGACCCACGGGAAUCAAUGGGUUCUGAGUCCUUUUCAGUACUGACAUUUGUUUGCUCGCUGUCUCCCAAUGCCAAGUUUUUCUUCCACUCCCACAACUUGCACUUAAACUGCCCAAGCUUCUGUGACUUCUAAGUGCUCCACGUGGCUUCAGGCUGCUCCUUGAUCUCCAGGCUGUAGUCUCAACCUUCCAGAGCCUAGAAGGGACAGCAACUGAGUGACUUUUAAAGAAUCUCAACUUAGAAAGACUGCAGUGGAGGGUCAUAGAAGUCGGGUGAUGGCAAGCACUCAGAGGUCAGGUAAAAGGACAUCAGUGGGCAGGCAAUUCCUUAAAUGCCACAUCCUAGUAGCCAAACAAAGAGGCUUCUGGGGAAGACAAAGGAAAUGGUGCCAGUUUCGGAGUGCUGCCUGGAGCUGCCCCACCUACAGGCACUGAGAACCAACCUAGCUUUCUACUCCUGUGACCAGCGAUGACAAACUCCCACCUACACUGCUGGCCUGAGUGUUGAAGAACUUCACGCACGCAGGUAAUACAAACAUUUACUCUCUGGAAGUGUUGUGUUGGUGCUACUUGCCAGCAAAGGCCAAAAACACGCUUUCCUAAACCCCCUCAUCCUGUUAUAAGGCACACACUUCAGAGUUAAAAAAAAGAAAAUAAGCAGCAGUAAAAAAUGAAACAGCGAAGGAGAAACUAAUUGGCUAUGCCUCUGUAGAAAAAGGGAAUCAGAGUGAUUCUAGGGAAAACAAAACCAGCGCACGAGGAAGAGAUUUCAGGAACACCCAGAUCAACUGUUAAUAUGUACGAAACCCAACAUAAAAAGAUCCCUUUGUAUAGAACAGAAGUGCCACAGAUGGGGGCUUGUUGUCACUGAAAGUGCUAAAAGGUUCUCCGUCCCUGAUCUAGAAGGUAAACACGGACAGCCCGCUCUGUAUGGUGAGUAAUUUACGCCUCUGUAUGUUUACUCCAGAAGGCUAACAAAGUCUGUUAUUUAAAACAGAACCAUUAGAAAUAUGAUUUGCUUCUGAGGAUAUAGCUCAGCGAUAGACUCUUUGCCUAUCACACGAGGUCCUGGGUUCCAUCCCCAGAAUAGCAAUGAAGGAUGAUGAUCUUCCAAUAGGAUAACUACUGAAACAAUACAUAGAAAUUGAGACAAAAUUCUAACCACCUUAUAUUUGCCUCCUUAAGCCACUCUAAAAUUUUGCAGACACUCCCAGUUAGUAUGCUUAUCAAUCUAAACUUACUAAUAAAAAACUUAAAAUUAUAACAUUGGUCAAGGAGCUGGCUUCAAGAACUGGAGGAAGAAAAAAACUAAAGGAGAACCUCUCAGCUGAUCAGAAAGUCCACAGUGGCAUAGCUGCUUACGUACCUCAGGGAGAGACUACUUAAAUUCUCAAGGCGGCUCCUUUGUUAUGUAACCGUGGGGAAAUUGUCACGCUUUAC
This 2509-nucleotide long non-coding RNA is filed under the name Fukomys damarensis (Damara mole-rat). RNAcentral describes it as "lncRNA (ENSFDAG00000023544.1)". Lineage: Eukaryota; Metazoa; Chordata; Mammalia; Rodentia; Bathyergidae. The record is from RNAcentral.